RNAcentral lists this ribosomal RNA (447 nucleotides) under uncultured bacterium. RNAcentral's name for it is "partial 16S ribosomal RNA". It matches the Rfam family "Bacterial small subunit ribosomal RNA", at positions 29 to 507 of the family's 1533-position model. The record is from RNAcentral.
AACGAACGCUAUCGGUAUGCUUAACACAUGCAAGUCGGACGGACUAAUUAGGGCUUGCUCCAAUUAGUUAGUGGCAGACGGGUGAGUAACACGUGGGAAUCUGCCCAUCAGUGCGGAAUAACUUUUAGAAAUAAAAGCUAAUACCGUAUAUUCUCUACAGAGGAAAGAUUUAUCGCUGAUGGAUGAGCCCGCGUCAGAUUAGGUAGUUGGUGAGGUAACGGCUCACCGAGCCGACGAUCUGUAGCUGGUCUGAGAGGAUGAUCAGCCACACUGGGACUGAGACACGGCCCAGACUCCUACGGGAGGCAGCAGUGGGGAAUAUUGGACAAUGGGCGAAAGCCUGAUCCAGCAAUACCGAGUGAGUGAUAAAGGCCCUAGGGUUGUAAAGCUCUUUUAGCAAGGAAGAUAAUGACGUUACUUGCAGAAAAAGCCCCGGCUAACUCCGUG